GCGUGGGAGACGAUGACGUGAGGGUGCUCGCUCCUCUGGGGGAGAUUGCUCCAAAUCCUUGGAUCAAGAGCCCAUCACCUGCCAGGUGUAUGCAUGUCACCGCUCUGGCCACAGCCAAUGAAAACGAGAGUUACUAAGUUGGCGGAAAACAGAAGCCAAUUACAGCCUAGAUUUAACCUAUGACGUCACGGGUUCGAGCGCCAAAGCCCAGCAGCCAAUCAGCAGUCGUGAUUUCACUUGAGCCAAUCAAAGCGCACAGUGGUGGUGGGGCGGUAAACUUGCCUCCAGUCAUGCGCGGGAGAUGGCGUGCGCUCCUCUGGGUAAGGUUGCUGCAAAUCCUUGGAUCAAGAGUCCAUCACCAGCACACACAAAGCAAAUUGCUAAGUUGGCGGGAAGCAACAGCCAAUUACAGCGUAGAUUUAGCCUGACGUCACGGGCUUGAGCGCCUAGACCCAGCAGUCGUGACGUCACUUAAUCAGCCAAUGAGAGCGCUCAGAUUACUACGUCACAGUCUGGUAGUGCGGUAGCCCGCGUAUUUUACGCCUCAAGUCAUGCGUGGGAGGAGUGAGGGCGCGCGCUCCUCUGUUGAAGCAGACGAGUUCAGCAGUAACUGUUAGCCUUUAUGGUAAGUGGUAACGCUUGUCACUUUCAUUUAUAAGUGAUCAGUUAUUACUUAUCCCUUUACCAUUUGUCUACCACUUACGUUAUUUUACCACUUUUAUGACCUUGCCAUUUAUCACUACCACUUAUAUCACUACUAUAAAUUUUAAUUGAAAUUAUUAUUCGCUGAAACAUUAAUUUAUUAUCCAGCGUUUUAUAUAUGGACUUUGUUGCCAUGGAUACGUGAAUAUGGUGGAUGCCUUGUUGAAUUAUUCUAGUAAACUAAGAUUUAAAUGUCAUAGCAUAUGUAGGUUUUUUUGUAAUUACUGAUUUUAAUGUUCAUUAUUUUAAACUGAUUUAAAGUUGAUAUUAUAAUUUUUUGCAGUUGCCAUGUUUUAAGUUGAUGCAAGUUAAA
Molecule: long non-coding RNA, 1015 nt
Organism: Cherax quadricarinatus
Lineage: Eukaryota; Metazoa; Arthropoda; Malacostraca; Decapoda; Parastacidae
Source: RefSeq, a predicted model, not a curated record